AAAUCCUUGUCCAAAUAUAAAUUGGUGCUUUUUUUUAUCGAAUUUCUGAUAUCGAAUUCUAUCGAUCGCAAAAGUCUGGCAAAUACGAACAGAAAUCUCAAUUAGACGGACGAUGAAUAUAUUCUGCAAGAUCUACUAUUAGCCAAAUAUUUCGUCAAAUACUCGAAUACCAAGUUUAGGACAAAUAUCGUUUCUGAUUCGAAAAAGAAACCGGAGUUAUUAAGAAACCGGAUUAAUUGAUGAGGUUUCAUCCAUUCAAUUCGUUUUAUCCAUUACGAGGCUUGGAAACUUACAAGAAAUACUUCAAUAAAAACAUUUACGAUACAGCAGUCAUCGAAAUC
This is a long non-coding RNA of Bombus impatiens (common eastern bumble bee), 341 nucleotides long. RefSeq lists it as uncharacterized. Lineage: Eukaryota; Metazoa; Arthropoda; Insecta; Hymenoptera; Apidae. The record is from RefSeq and is a predicted model, not a curated record. The transcript has 2 exons.